RNAcentral lists this long non-coding RNA (1525 nucleotides) under Equus caballus (horse). Its description in RNAcentral is "lncRNA (ENSECAG00000029009.3)". Lineage: Eukaryota; Metazoa; Chordata; Mammalia; Perissodactyla; Equidae. The record is from RNAcentral.
CAUCAUCACUUCAUCCCUUAAAACACUGUGCUGUCUCCUAGAGGACUUCCACACAGAACCCCUCCACCUAAGGGACUCGUCUUUACAUCCUGAUUCUCAGGGUCUUGGAGCCACUGCUACCUUUAGGCAACUCUCCUUCUCUCACCCCAGCACUUGUGUCAACCCCUAUCUCCUCUCUCCUUGGAGCAGCCAGCUAAAGUCUCCUUCCACAUGAGGGUCUGGACAGGACUGUACAACAGGUAUCUCACAACUUCUGUUUGGGUUCAGGAAACAUGAAAGCCAUUAAUAACUACUGAAUCCAGAAGCCCAGAACUUCCUGUAAGACAAAUGAGGAAAGAUUAGGGCACAGUUCUGAGUGUUAAUCCAUGUGAAGGCUGCCUCAAGAAAGCUGAUUCCCUUAGGCAGCACCUGGUACCAGAGAAAUUCACAGUGCCUGAAGCUGGGAUCUGGGGUUCCCAUACCCAAGCCACAUCAAGAGUCCUGCUUUCCCAUAGGAACUGGAAUCUGGGAAAAAGGAAAACAGUACUAGAAGCAGAACAAGAGUGUGGGAUCACUCCUGGGUGGUACUGUCACCUCAUUUGGACAGUUCACUGCCUAGAUGUGCUGAGUGUGCAAAUUCUGUCUCGUUGCCUCAUCCAGUGUUUCUCUGAAUAGAAGCAAAUAUCUGGGCACCAGACUCUCUCCUGGCUUUGAUGAAGCAAGCUGCCAUGUUGGAGAGGCCUACAUGACAAGGAACUGAAGGUUGCCUCCAGCCAACUCCAGCCAACAGCCAUCCAGGAAUUGAGGCUCUCAGUCCAACAGGCCUUGAGGAACUGCAUCCAGCCAGCAACUGUAGAAGUGAGCAAAGAAGUGUGUAUUUCCCCAGUCAAGCCUUCAGCUGAGACCCCAGCCCCAGCUGACACCUUAAUUGCAGCCUUGUGAGAGACCUUGGAGCAGAGAACCCAGGUAGGCCUUGCCUACAUUCCUCACCAACAGAAACUAUGAAUUAAUAAAUACUUGGUUUUUUAAGCCACUAACUUUUGGGGUAUUUGUUAUAUAGUAACUAACACACCCCUAAAUUACUGUAACCUUGGUGUAAGAUGCAGCAUGGCUGGGAAGGCAGGCAGCAGAUGAGAGGACAACCUCCUUGACAACAUUCCUGGAGAUACUGUCUUCAAUCUCGAAGACUAUCCCAAGUUCUCUUAGCUGCAGUGGUAUCAUUGUGCUCCCCCCAGCCCUGAUUAGGCUCCAGGAGAUUCUUCGGCGGGACCCACCCAGUUCCUGGACCCUGCCCUGGCCACUCCAGUGUCCACAAUCGCAAAACCCAUCCAUACACACACCUGCACUGACUGCUCACCUGUGAGAUACUCAGGAAUCAGCAACGUUUUCUAAAUGAAGGUAAGUUACGGUUUUCAGGAAAAUAUUCCUAUCUCUGGUCCUUUUCAGAGCUGCGAGUUCUCUCCUCCCUUCUGCUCCAGGAAAGGUAGAGGAAGGGGAAGGGUGGACUGCUCCCCAUUUUCGUUAGGGUCAGCUGAGGCGUGGGGAC